AAAGAUGCUCAGAUCAAAUAAGUAAUAGAACAAGCCCCAGUAUAUGAAGUGUGCAUUAAUUCACAUGCUAGCAAUAAAGCAAGCAUAGAUUGUUUCAUUUUCAUACUUCUUUUGAUAAAGCAACUAGUCAAAAUAUGGUAGUGAAACAGUGUGUUUAAAGAGUAAAUGUAUGCAUGGCAUAUUUUAUUUAUCAUGUAGCUUUUAUUGCUAAGUGUUAAAAGAAUUGUCUUGCAACUAGAUAUGAUGACUACAGCCUUUGAGCAAGAGACAUUUUGAAAGAGCUGCUUUGUAAAGUAUGCAAUAAUAAUAACAUCCAAACUGAUUAGGGAUGUCAUAAUAUUACCAGUAGGUAUUUAAAAUCCCCAAUGAUUUGUUUGUUUAUUUGAAGUUCUGGGUUUUAUUUUUCCUCCUUUUAAAAGUAGCGCAGCACUGUGCUUCUUUUGUAAGAGAAAUAAUGUCAACAGAAGGCUAAAGAGCACGUGCCUGUAGAACAUCUGCUAUAAGAAGCCACUUGAAAAAUAACCACUCAGUAGCAUGAUAAGAAAACAUCUGUGAAGCACUAGGAAGAGUAUCAGCAAUGGGAGGAGGCAGACCUUUCUGUACCAGGGAACUACUGAUUAAUUGGGCCAUAUGAUGGGAGGAGGCUCCCAGCAUGGAGCAGAUUUAGCCUUCAACUACGCUGAAGAUGUAAACUCCAUCAUCUUCCAGAUGGUGGCAAACAGAGCUCCAGGAAUAGACUGCAAAACCAUAUGCAAGUAAGAUCACUGUGAAAUGAGAAGGACAUGAACCAGAGCUGCUGAUCUGAACACAUCCUUUUUUUUUUUUUUGGAGGAUUUUGGAUCCAGAAAUUAAUAUCUAAGAAAAAAUAAAUACACCAUGAGGAAAAGAUACUCUUUAAUU
RNAcentral lists this long non-coding RNA (900 nucleotides) under Anas platyrhynchos platyrhynchos (common mallard). RNAcentral describes it as "lncRNA (ENSAPLG00000019920.1)". The record is from RNAcentral. Lineage: Eukaryota; Metazoa; Chordata; Aves; Anseriformes; Anatidae.